Molecule: ribosomal RNA, 253 nt
Filed under: uncultured bacterium
Lineage: Bacteria
Description: partial 16S ribosomal RNA
Rfam family: Bacterial small subunit ribosomal RNA
Source: RNAcentral
UACGAAGGGGGCUAGCGUUGUUCGGAAUUACUGGGCGUAAAGCGCGCGCAGGCGGCUAUCCAAGUCAGUGGUGAAAGCCCGGAGCUCAACUCCGGAACUGCCAUUGAAACUGUUUAGCUUGAGGAUGAGAGAGGUGAGUGGAAUUCCCAGUGUAGAGGUGAAAUUCGUAGAUAUUGGGAAGAACACCGGUGGCGAAGGCGGCUCGCUGGCUCAUUACUGACGCUCAGGCGCGAUAGCGUGGGGAUCAAACAGG